This 247-nucleotide ribosomal RNA is filed under the name uncultured Actinomycetes bacterium. Its description in RNAcentral is "uncultured actinobacterium partial 16S ribosomal RNA". It matches the Rfam family "Bacterial small subunit ribosomal RNA", at positions 28 to 276 of the family's 1533-position model. The record is from RNAcentral. Lineage: Bacteria; Bacillati; Actinomycetota; Actinomycetes.
GACGAACGCUGGCGGCGUGCUUAACACAUGCAAGUCGAGCGGUAAGGCCCUUUCGGGGGUACACGAGCGGCGAACGGGUGAGUAACACGUGAGCAACCUGCCCCUGACUCUGGGAUAAGCGCUGGAAACGGCGUCUAAUACUGGAUAUGUACCACGAUCGCAUGGUCUGUGGUUGGAAAGAUUUUUCGGUUGGGGAUGGGCUCGCGGCCUAUCAGCUUGUUGGUGAGGUAAUGGCUCACCAAGGCGU